GGGGUCGCGUCCUAUCAGCUUGACGGCGGGGUAACGGCCCACCGUGGCUUCGACGGGUAGCCGGCCUGAGAGGGCGACCGGCCACAUUGGGACUGAGAUACGGCCCAGACUCAUACGGGAGGCAGCAGUGGGGAAUACUGCACAAUGGGCGCAAGCCUGAUGCAGCGACGCCGCGUGAGGGAUGGAGGCCUUCGGGUUGUAAACCUCUUCUAUCGGGGAGCAAGCGAGAGUGAGUUUACCCGCCGAAUAAGCACCGGCUAACUACGUGCCAGCAGCCGCGGUAAUACGUAGGGUGCAAGCGUUAUCCGGAAUUAUUGGGCGUAAAGGGCUCGUAGGCGGUUCGUCGCGUCCGGUGUGAAAGUCCAUCGCUUAACGGUGGAUCCGCGCCGGGUACGGGCGGG
This 401-nucleotide ribosomal RNA is filed under the name uncultured Bifidobacterium sp. RNAcentral describes it as "bacterial SSU rRNA". It matches the Rfam family "Bacterial small subunit ribosomal RNA", at positions 227 to 640 of the family's 1533-position model. The record is from RNAcentral. Lineage: Bacteria; Bacillati; Actinomycetota; Actinomycetes; Bifidobacteriales; Bifidobacteriaceae.